This 638-nucleotide ribosomal RNA is filed under the name uncultured marine eukaryote. RNAcentral's name for it is "SSU rRNA". It matches the Rfam family "Eukaryotic small subunit ribosomal RNA", at positions 616 to 1253 of the family's 1831-position model. The record is from RNAcentral.
UGGUUAAAAAGCUCGUAGUUGGAUCUCGGCGGUCUGAGGGCGGUUCGCUUGAUUGAGUGCUACUGCUCUAUAGGCCGUGGUUUUGCCAGAGGUCUCGGGGUGCUCUUAACCGAGUGUCCUGCGAUGCUGGCAGGUUUACUUUGAAAAAAUUAGAGUGCUCAAAGCAGGCUUUUACGCCUGGAUAUUCGUGCAUGGAAUAAUAGAAUAGGAAGUCGUUUCUAUUUUGUUGGUUUUCGGAAAUCGACUUAAUGAUUAAUAGGGACAGUCGGGGGCAUUUGUAUUCAAACGACAGAGGUGAAAUUCUUGGACCGUUUGAAGACAAACUACUGCGAAAGCAUUUGCCAAGAAUGUUUUCAUUAAUCAAGAACGAAAGUUAGAGGUUCGAAGGCGAUUAGAUACCGCCCUAGUUCUAACCAUAAACGAUGCCAGCUAGCGAUCUGCCGACGUUUUCUUUGUAGACUCUGCAGGAAGCUUCCGGGAAACCAAAGCAUUUGGGUUCCAGGGGAAGUAUGGUUGCAAAGCUGAAACUUAAAGGAAUUGACGGAAGGGCACCACCAGGAGUGGAGCCUGUGGCUUAAUUUGACUCAACACGGGAAAUCUCACCAGGCCCGGACACUGGAAGGAUUGACAGAUUGAUA